CUUCACUGGCAAGCUUUA
This 18-nucleotide microRNA is filed under the name Gadus morhua (Atlantic cod). RNAcentral describes it as "gmo-miR-22a-2-5p". Its record names the gene gmo-miR-22a-2-5p. The record is from miRBase by way of RNAcentral. Lineage: Eukaryota; Metazoa; Chordata; Actinopteri; Gadiformes; Gadidae.